GUUAACGUAAUUACUACAGUGUGGCUAACAUAACACUGUUUGUCGAAUGGUAUUUAUCACUUCAUUGUGGUAAUUCCCAUUUCAGUUCAAGAAUAACACAUGCAACAUAAUAUUNCACGUUUAUCGCGUAAUAUUCCUGAAUGAUAUGAACACUAUUACUACUAUUUGAAUGUACUCAAUGAAAUAUGAGAUGAUUCAUAUAGGGACAUGUAUGGUAAUGGUUUGUUCCAUGAUGGUAUCAUUUGUAUUGCAACCUGAGCUCAGGCGUGAUUACCCGCUGAACUUAAGCAUAUCAUUUAGCGGAGG
Molecule: ribosomal RNA, 306 nt
Filed under: Teladorsagia circumcincta
Lineage: Eukaryota; Metazoa; Nematoda; Chromadorea; Rhabditida; Trichostrongylidae
Description: eukaryotic LSU rRNA
Source: RNAcentral